Long non-coding RNA from Phycodurus eques (leafy seadragon), 981 nucleotides. RefSeq lists it as uncharacterized. Lineage: Eukaryota; Metazoa; Chordata; Actinopteri; Syngnathiformes; Syngnathidae. The transcript has 4 exons. The record is from RefSeq and is a predicted model, not a curated record.
CUAAUCGUGGCACCGUGACACAUUCUAACGGCAGCUUUGGGCUCUCCGGUGGGAUAUUUGCGACAUGUCCUUCAUCGGGCUCGUAGCCGCUGACGGCGCUAACCUCAAAGCGAAGCGUUGUCACGGGGGUUCGAGUCUUCGGAGGUUGAGCGUGGGAUCGCUCUGUCGUCCUCGCUGGUGGGAUUAGCAGCAAAUCCGCGGCUCCUGUAACACUCUCGGCGGGGAGCGCAGAACCUGCCCACGACCGUUUGACGAUCAGCGAAAAGUGAGUAAGAAAUUGGAAGUGUGUUGGUCGACGGACACGAUUGAGUUUGCUGUCCAAUUAAGAUGAGAGGAACUGAAAUGGCGAGCGAGCAGACGAGAGCGCUCUGUGAAGAGGCCCGCGAGGACUUUCCGAAGCCGGACGCUCGCUCGCCGCCGCCGCCGCUUUACUUUGACGUCUGGCCAACGGAGCGACGGGCAGCUGAUUCCUCUCGCCAGCAUACCACUGUCCCUGAAGGCAACACCAGCCUGACUUUGGCUUACUGACCAAAAGCGAGGAAAAACCUGAUUUGUCACUCUGAGCGAAGCGGUGGUUGAGGAAGAGGAGCUGGCCAUGAGGAAGAAGACGACUCAGCAAAACGUCCACGCGGCUGCUCUUCAGCAACACCUGGGAAAUAAAUACAACAAUUAUUGCAUUCAAACAAAUAACAAGAGAAAUAAAUUGCAUGCACGAGAAAAAAUAAGAGAAUGGCUGUGUGUGGCUCCUUCGUGAUCGACGCGACAGGCCAAAAUGAACGACCUCGUCUUUUUCUUCUACCUCGCUGCCCUGCCCCAGCAUGUGCAGGUGCUCCAGGCAGUGCCCGGCCAGGUUCCGGAGCGUUCCCUCGGCCAGCGGCGGGUUCUCGUGGGGCUCGCACACCAUGACGAAGGCCAACGAGUUGACGGCCAGCCAGAGCGCGCUGACCUCCCGCCAGUAGGGGUCCCCGUCGCGCAGUCUCA